GUGUUGUAGCUAAAUGGUAGAGCACUUUCCUAACUUGUGUGAGGCCCUGGGUUCAAUUCUCAGCACUGCACA
Molecule: transfer RNA, 72 nt
Filed under: Marmota monax (woodchuck)
Lineage: Eukaryota; Metazoa; Chordata; Mammalia; Rodentia; Sciuridae
Description: tRNA.Val
Source: RNAcentral